Molecule: long non-coding RNA, 932 nt
Filed under: Dasypus novemcinctus (nine-banded armadillo)
Lineage: Eukaryota; Metazoa; Chordata; Mammalia; Cingulata; Dasypodidae
Description: lncRNA (ENSDNOG00000050893.1)
Source: RNAcentral
GUCCCGGCUCGCCCAUCUCCUUGCUCCCUCCCCAUCGUUCAGAUGGGGGGAAACUGAGGCUGGAAGGGAACCAGAGGCCGAGGAAGGGAUCAGGCCCAAAGAAAUGGGGGUGGGGGGGACCGGGACAGGUGCGGAGUAAUGGGGGGGUAGUUGGCGUCCCCCAGCCCCCCGCCCCCCUCGCCCGGCCCCAGGCUGUCGGGGUAAAAGCCCACAGGCUCCGCAGGUAGGUCCCGGCAGGGAGAGGGCGGGGUCCCGGCCACCCCCGGGAGAGUGGGGGAGGGGAGGCGGGAUUGACAGUCGGUAAUUGGGUAACUGGAGGCGGCUUCUCCGGCCGGGCAGCCCCGCCACCGCGACGCCGGGCCCCUGACGUCACCCGAUUCGCCAGGAAAUGAACUUUUUAAUAAUCCGGGGAGGGAGGAAAGCCCUCGGCCCCCCUGGCUUGGGGGGCGCCCGGCCGGGCCCAGCUCGGCAGGCGCGCCCCCUUCGUCCCGGCUCCCCGGUUGCACCCCCCUCGCCCCCUCCCAGGCCAGCUCUGGGCAGCGCGGACGCGGGCGCAGGCCGCGGCCGGGGUCCUCCGCCUGCCACUGCGUCCGGCGGCCCGAGUGUCGGUCCGAGGCCCCGGCACAGGGUCCUGGAGGUGAUAAUCAUCUGCCCCAGAGAUGCCAUCAGCCAUUCCUGAGAAAGCUGCUCUGCAGCUUGAUAGGAGAACAUUUGUGAAUGCCAGGGGUAGACACUCCCUCUCCCCACCAAAGGCACUCCUGUUCUGCCGAGCCUCCACAUCCAUCUCCAGCAGGAGGAUCGAAAUCAAACAUAUGUGGUCUGAAUCCCAGAUCUGCGUGACCCCGGGUAAGUCAUUUACCUUCUCUGAGCCUCCUGUUUCUCCUCUGAGAAUUACAUGGCAUGAAGGCUAUGAGAGUUCCUGUGCUCUCCUG